GUGCUUGCUUCGGCAGCACAUAUACUAAAAUUGGAAAGAUACAGAGAAGAUUAGCAUGGCCCCUGCGCAAGAAUGACACACAAAUUCGUGAAGCGUUCCAUAUUAAA
Molecule: small nuclear RNA, 107 nt
Filed under: Mus spicilegus (steppe mouse)
Lineage: Eukaryota; Metazoa; Chordata; Mammalia; Rodentia; Muridae
Source: RNAcentral